GACGAACGCUGGCGGCGUGCUUAACACAUGCAAGUCGAACGGAAAGGCCCUGCUCUUGUGGGGUGCUCGAGUGGCGAACGGGUGAGUAACACGUGUGUAACCUGCCCUUGACUUUGGGAUAACUUCAGGAAACUGGGGCUAAUACCGGAUAGGAGCUCCUGCUGCAUGGUGGGGGUUGGAAAGUUUCGGCGGUUGGGGAUGGACUCGCGGCUUAUCCGCUUGUUGGUGGGGUAGUGGCUUACCAAGGCUUUGACGGGUAGCCGGCCUGAGAGGGGGACCGGCCACAUUGGGACUGGGAUAGGGCCCAGACUCCAACGGGAGGCAGCAGGGGGGAAUAUUGCACAAUGGGCGGAAGCCUGAUGCAGCAACGCCGCGGGCGGGAUGACGGCCUUCGGGUUGUAACCCGCUUUCGCCUGUGACGAAGCGUGAGUGACGGUAAUGGGUAAAGAAGCACCGGCUAACUACGUG
Molecule: ribosomal RNA, 468 nt
Filed under: uncultured bacterium
Lineage: Bacteria
Description: partial 16S ribosomal RNA
Rfam family: Bacterial small subunit ribosomal RNA
Source: RNAcentral